RNAcentral lists this RNase P RNA (370 nucleotides) under Lachnospiraceae bacterium. RNAcentral's name for it is "RNase P RNA component class A". It matches the Rfam family "Bacterial RNase P class A". Rfam says of the family: Ribonuclease P (RNase P) is a ubiquitous endoribonuclease, found in archaea, bacteria and eukarya as well as chloroplasts and mitochondria. Lineage: Bacteria; Bacillati; Bacillota; Clostridia; Lachnospirales; Lachnospiraceae. The record is from RNAcentral.
UGAGAGGUGCAGACGAUCGCGCCGCAAGGUGAGGAAAGUCCGGGCUUCACAGGGCAGUAUGCCGGAUAACGUCCGGUGGGGGCGACCCCAAGGAAAGUGCAACAGAAAGCAAACCGCCGCGCAAGCGGCAAGGGUGAAACGGCGGUGUAAGAGACCACCGCUUUUGUGGUACCACGUAAGGCAUUGUAAACCCCAUACGAAGCAAGACAAACAGGAGGCAAUGUGGCUGCCCGUCACGUCUCCGGGUUGUCGCGUCGUCCGCAAAGUACAGGUUCUGCCUGUAAACCCGCGGGCGGGAGCCGGCAGGUAACUGCCGGUCAAGAUGGAUGAUCGUCUGAUACAGAACCCGGCUUACAGCAGCUCUCAAAAA